RNAcentral lists this ribosomal RNA (274 nucleotides) under uncultured bacterium. Its description in RNAcentral is "partial 16S ribosomal RNA". It matches the Rfam family "Bacterial small subunit ribosomal RNA", at positions 523 to 796 of the family's 1533-position model. The record is from RNAcentral.
AUACGGAGGGGGCUAGCGUUGUUCGGAAUUACUGGGCGUAAAGCGCGUGUAGGCGGAUCGUUAAGUCAGGGGUGAAAGCCCGGAGCUCAACUCCGGAAUUGCCCUUGAUACUGGCGGUCUCGAGGCCGGGAGAGGUGAGCGGAAUUCCCAGUGUAGAGGUGAAAUUCGUAGAUAUUGGGAGGAACACCAGUGGCGAAGGCGGCUCACUGGCCCGGUUCUGACGCUGAGACGCGAAAGCGUGGGGAGCAAACAGGAUUAGAUACCCUAGUAGUCC